GCCUAAAUACAUGCAAGUCGAACGCUUCUUUUUCCACCGGAGCUUGCUCCACCGGAAAAAGAGGAGUGGCGAACGGGUGAGUAACACGUGGGUAACCUGCCCAUCAGAAGGGGAUAACACUUGGAAACAGGUGCUAAUACCGUAUAACAAUCGAAACCGCAUGGUUUUGAUUUGAAAGGCGCUUUCGGGUGUCGCUGAUGGAUGGACCCGCGGUGCAUUAGCUAGUUGGUGAGGUAACGGCUCACCAAGGCGACGAUGCAUAGCCGACCUGAGAGGGUGAUCGGCCACAUUGGGACUGAGACACGGCCCAAACUCCUACGGGAGGCAGCAGUAGGGAAUCUUCGGCAAUGGACGAAAGUCUGACCGAGCAACGCCGCGUGAGUGAAGAAGGUUUUCGGAUCGUAAAACUCUGUUGUUAGAGAAGAACAAGGAUGAGAGUAACUGUUCAUCCCUUGACGGUAUCUAACCAGAAAGCCACGGCUAACUACGUGCCAGCAGCCGCGGUAAUACGUAGGUGGCAAGCGUUGUCCGGAUUUAUUGGGCGUAAAGCGAGCGCAGGCGGUUUCUUAAGUCUGAUGUGAAAGCCCCCGGCUCAACCGGGGAGGGUCAUUGGAAACUGGGAGACUUGAGUGCAGAAGAGGAGAGUGGAAUUCCAUGUGUAGCGGUGAAAUGCGUAGAUAUAUGGAGGAACACCAGUGGCGAAGGCGGCUCUCUGGUCUGUAACUGACGCUGAGGCUCGAAAGCGUGGGGAGCAAACAGGAUUAGAUACCCUGGUAGUCCACGCCGUAAACGAUGAGUGCUAAGUGUUGGAGGGUUUCCGCCCUUCAGUGCUGCAGCUAACGCAUUAAGCACUCCGCCUGGGGAGUACGACCGCAAGGUUGAAACUCAAAGGAAUUGACGGGGGCCCGCACAAGCGGUGGAGCAUGUGGGUUUAAUUCGAAGCAACGCGAAGAACCUUACCAGGUCUUGACAUCCUUUGACCACUCUAGAGAUAGAGCUUCCCCUUCGGGGGCAAAGUGACAGGUGGUGCAUGGUUGUCGUCAGCUCGUGUCGUGAGAUGUUGGGUUAAGUCCCGCAACGAGCGCAACCCUUAUUGUUAGUUGCCAUCAUUUAGUUGGGCACUCUAGCAAGACUGCCGGUGACAAACCGGAGGAAGGUGGGGAUGACGUCAAAUCAUCAUGCCCCUUAUGACCUGGGCUACACACGUGCUACAAUGGGAAGUACAACGAGUCGCAAAGUCGCGAGGCUAAGCUAAUCUCUUAAAGCUUCUCUCAGUUCGGAUUGUAGGCUGCAACUCGCCUACAAGAAGCCCGGANUCGANAAGAAA
This 1327-nucleotide ribosomal RNA is filed under the name Enterococcus sp. enrichment culture clone PTmrs5. Its description in RNAcentral is "bacterial SSU rRNA". It matches the Rfam family "Bacterial small subunit ribosomal RNA", at positions 46 to 1342 of the family's 1533-position model. Lineage: Bacteria; Bacillati; Bacillota; Bacilli; Lactobacillales; Enterococcaceae. The record is from RNAcentral.